Molecule: long non-coding RNA, 611 nt
Organism: Fukomys damarensis (Damara mole-rat)
Lineage: Eukaryota; Metazoa; Chordata; Mammalia; Rodentia; Bathyergidae
Exons: 3
Source: RefSeq, a predicted model, not a curated record
UGGAGCACUGGGUGUGGUGAAAAAGUAGCGGUCCACCCAAGGGCACAGUGGUGUGCUGCCCUGGGCCUGUCGGAUAUGCUCCUGAAGGCUCAAGUCAUUCCAAACUAUGGACUUGUCCUUUCUGCAGAGAAAGAAAAAAGGAAGAGGAGGGAGAAAUAGAGGAGAUGGAAGUGCUGGCUGUGGGGAGAGAAGAAAAGAAGAGAGAACACAGUAGUCCCAAAAAGGAGCACGCAGGAGAGCAGCCCACCUAAUAGAGCGUCCCGGAGGCCAGGGCCAGCGGGUGCUGUAAGGAGCCGGGCGGCGGCAGCUCCUCGGGGCCAGAAUCCGCCCGCAGCUCUGGGCGGCGACUUGAACAUUUUUUGCGCUUAUCUAGGCCCCAGUCGGUUGAAUAGAGAGAGAUGGAAAGGGGACAGUCCUGGAAGAUUUGCUCAUACAACAGCGCCCCCACCUCGCGUCCCUCAGGCUGUGGCGGCCGAAAGCUGCGAAGGAGCAGGGCGCGACCCUUCCUUAGGUCCCUGGCCUGAACCCACCGCAAGGCCGUAGGUCCCUGCUCACCCCGGGAAGGCUUCGCGUCGUAGAGAGAACCAGACGCUUUAUUCAGAUUGCAAGGC